UGUAACCCUUCCAAAACACACAAUGCGGCUGCCUUUACAUAUGCUGAAAAGCUUACUUCUUAAGGGCCUUGGACGGAAGCGUCAGCCCGUAGUGCAGAGAAACGAUAAAUACUUGGCGAGAAGGCUAAGUACAUAUUCUAAGCCUAAAGAAUCCUUUUUGGGGAAUGUCAACAACUUUCGGCUAGAUGGGUUUUAGUGGCUCACGAUAGUGGUGGAAAAGAAAAGAAAUAUAAAGAUGGAAAAGGAAUUUUUAUUAAAGGAAAAUAUGGAAAGAAACAAAAGCCUAGAGGAGGAGAGUGUUUACAUAAAAAGAUGAACAACCAAAUAGAGUCAUUUCACCCCCUAUUUAUAGUACUAGGAAGAUAGUCUAAUUUGACUUAAAUUCUAAAAAGAUAAAUAUAUUUAAUUAAAGAUAAUUAAAAUAAAAUCCUAAAAUUAAAUAAUCCUAAUAAUUAUCUUAAUAUUAAUUAUCCUAAUAUAAAAAUAGAGUCUUAUAAAAUAAAAUCUCUUCUUUUUGCAUUUUCAGUCCUUGUGUCUUCUAUGCUUGCACUUUUGGCACAAUCUUUUUCCUCUGUCGCAUAUCAGCCCAUUUUUUCUCCAAAUUCGUAUUUUUGCCCAUUAAUUUUACUUUUGCCUCCAAAUCAGUCUCUAAAAGAUAAAAUAUUAUAUAUAGCAUAAAUUAGCAGGAUCAUACUCAGAAUAAUCACAUAAUUAAUAAAAUAAAAUACGUUAUUCUGGAGUAUUAUCAAAUUACCCCUACUUAGCCCAUGCUUGCCCUCAAGCAUGGUUCCUAUCCACUAUGAAAGUUAGAUUCUGCUAUAAAAGAAAUACCACUCUAAAGUUUCAUAAGAAUUAGUUAGAAAUGCAUAUGAAAAAUAAAGAGAACCCUAAGCUUGCUUUAAGUAAAACAAAAAAAGUUUUCCAAUUAAUACACAUAGAAAUUAAAAUCGAUUUGAAUUAUUUCAUGGAAAUUAGGUAAAUUACUAAACUUACCAAGACACCCUCUUUGUUUCUUCCUUUAACCCCAAAUUUUAUUUAUUUACAUAUUUUUUUUUGCUUUUUCAUUUUCUUUCUUUUUUUUAUUUACUUAUUUAUUUAUGUAUGUUUGUAUGUUGAACUUUUGACGCGAAGAGUGAUAACAGCCAAGCACCAAACCUCGGUUACUCAGCCCAACAUACUUUUUAUUUUUUAUUUUUCCUAAAAUCAUGUGGAACCUUUUGACGCGAAGAGUGAUGACAACCAAGCACCCCACCCCGAUUACUCAGCCCAACACAUUCUAAAGAAUUAAUUCCGGUUAGCAGAGUUUUAACUAUCAUGUCACACAAUCUUUUGACGAGAAGUAGAAUGACAACCCAAGCACCCUACCCCGGUUACUCAGUCAGUCACAUUCUAAGCUGUACUCAUAACCACGAAAAAAUUAUUAACAAUUAAAAGAAAUUUAAGUGUCAAGAGCAAGUUUCAAUAAUCACCUAAUAGCCAUGAACAUAAAUUAAGCAUGCAAUCAUUUUAAAUGUUCACUUUAUAUUAAACUUGAUUAAUUUUACGAAAAGCAAGACAGAGUUAACUCUAUUAAUCACAAUUAUUUUUAGCCUAAUAAAAAUGAAACUGUGGAGAUGACAUCAAUUAUGAAAAAAAUCAUAACUUCCUCAGAAGGCAAGAAUCAUGCUUGUGGGGCAAACAGUAAGCAAUUCCUGGUCAAAAUCUUGGGCUUGAAAAGAGACAGCAUCUUCUUAAAAAAAAUAUGGACAAAAUAGGGUCUCAUCAAACAGUAACAAAAACACAGCAGCAACAUCGACCAAAAUCACAGUAGAAAAUGACAGUAAUAAUUAAGAGUUCCUUCCCCCUACUUAAAACACAUUGUCCUCAAUGUUGACAAAAAGAAAUAAAUAGGUAGAAAGGUUUAGUAAUACUCCCCACGUAGUUUACCGUCGAUCACGCUUGAUGGCAAGGAGUUCGGUGAGUUGCUGGCCAAAUGUAUCAAGUCGAGCCUCAAUGCGCUCUAAGCGUUGCUCAACGGUCAAUGUUGGUUGAGCUUGGGCGGGUGCUUUAUUAUGAGUUUGUUGGCGAAAGACUCGCUCGGAUUGUGAAGAACGAAUACGGGGAGGUACAAAACUGAAUAUGAUGGAGUGCCACGAAGUAAUCCCAUUGAGUCGAGGCAUCGAGCAUCCAAAGGACUAAUGUUUGACUUCCAGGAAAAUGCAGGAUGAACAGAAUUUGCCAACUCACAGGUGAAUCAGGAAUUAUUUAAAAAGAAAAAGGACUAAUGUUAAGUUUGAUACAAAUUUCCCUCGAUUUUCCUCGAUCAGAAACCAAACAGAAUAAAAAGAGAUGAAGAAAAAACAAGAUUUUUUUAAAGAAUCAAAAUUUAUACCUUAAAAGAAACACUAGCACUACCUUGACUCACUCAUUCGGAAGAAGCUACCACUGAUUCAUGAAUUCAAACCUUUUCUUUUCCUUUUUCGAGAGAGAGAAAGAAGCUAAUGACAAUGGAUCUUGAUUGUAAAAUAAAAUAUUUAGAGGGGUAGAGAAAUGUAGUUCCCUUUUCAUGAAUGUCAAGACAAUGAGAGAACAGUGCAAGAUAUAACAAACCUGGUUGGCGUAACUGAUACCCAUGUUUGCCCAAGCACGCACAUAGUUUGGCUUCAAAUAUAGUGCCUAAAGAUCCAGACAUAGACCAAAAGACUAAAUUCAAUAGUGCUGAAAAUAUGGCCACCACAGGUAAAGGGAAGUUUAUCAUCAAAUAGUUUUAAAUGGACAAUCUCAGUAACAGAGGCUAAACAAAUCAAACUGCAUAUGCAAGAUCUGACUGCAUUAAAAAAGGCAUUUUGAAAUAGAUGAUCAAGGGUAUAUGUAAAUUGAGGAAGUGCAUAAUCAAAUCAUCUAAAAUAACAAAUAGCUUCAAAAAUCAAAUAACUAAUUACAUGGAGCUUAAUAGAAGAGCUAGUCUGUUUUCUAAGGUCCAACUAGGUGCAACAUGUUAUUUGGAUAAUCUUUUUAGCAGCCUAAGGUUACAAAGAUGGAGCAAGUAAAUAAUUCAACCCUAUAAGAGAGCUGUAUAACACACCAAUGCAUCACUUUACAAUCGAAAGAUAAGAAAGAAGAGAAAUAGAGGAAAAGAUGAUGCAACCCAUAAGAGUUUGGCACACAGAAGAUUGACAUGUUGGGUUAUCACAUGUUUUGCAUUUCUUUAUGCCAUCCUUUCAAUUGAUUAAGCACAAGCCAAGUCCUAGACACACUUUUUUGUAUAGAAGCGAAAAAGCCCCCUUGAUUCAAGAAGCACAAAUUUACAUAUUCACCUUAAUUUACUCAAAAAAGUGAUUUUUUUACAUCUUGCACCUCAAAUGGUUCAGGUAGUUACAGCACCCUUGCCGACAUUGUCAACACCUUCAUAAUUCAUUUUUUUUUUAUUCUGGCCUAACAUGCAAAAUAGUGACCAACACACCAUACAAAUUGAUUCUUAGUAAAAUCCUAGUACUCAUAUAUUUUGAAUUUCACACAUUACAGGUGCUCCAACUUAGUAAAGAGAACCCCAAAAUUUUAGGAUAGGGAAAAUAAAUUUUUAAUUAUAAAAAAAGUAAUUAUGAAAUUAACAUAUCAGAUGGUAUACAGAUAGGACAGCACUAUUCAAGGGGGAAUCAUGAAGAAGCUACCUGUUGAUAAGGUAUGUUGCACCAGGCUUGUUCCAAAGAGAAUAAUCAUUAGGUUUAAGUUUCAAAGCAGUUUUGAAAGAUGCAAUGGCCUUAUCAUAUUCUCCCGACAAAUUAUACUGAACACCAAGGACAAUGUGUACAUCAGCAUCCUCAAGAGACAUCUGACCAACUUCAUUGAAUAAUCUAGCAACCUGUAUGGCAGAAAACACUUCGAUUAACACCAGAAUAUAACAAUAACAUUUCCAAAAUGUAAUGUUAGGGAUAAGCUUCUAGUAAUCUUAAGGAAAAUUAUAUCCUGUCAUCGUAUGUAAAAAUCUAAGUCCAAAAUAUAAUCACUGUAGUCAUGGAAACCAUAUGCAAAAAAAGACACUCUUGUAAUCACAACAUUCACAACAUAAGCAAACUAUCCCACAGUAACAUUAGAGGAAGUGGCUUACACUUAAACCAAGAUUGCAAUAUCAAGGCAUUGUUCCAAAAGACAAAAACCAACCAAAAAAACAAAGAAUUAUACCCUAGUGUACUUACAUCAGCAUAAUACACAGAAUCAGCAAGCUCCGGUGGCGCAAGAGUGCCAUACUUUGGGUGAGAUACUUUAAAGAAACAGUCUGCUCCAAUUCUGAACUUUCAAACAGUAUUAUUUGUUUGACACUCCAAAAUUUUAAUCUCAUCUUGAUUAAAGCAAUAAGCUUUCACUAACCAUUUGUAUGACUCGCACCAAGAGCAAGAAGUACUUCCAGAUUGGUAGGAUCGGCGUCUUGAGCACGCAUCAUUACUGCAAUAGCCUGUACAGAGAUAUCUAAUCAGUGAAUUACAUUUUGUCUACAAAGUCAAAUAUAUGGACCCCAGUAAAGACCACAUAAAACUGCAGAUUCAUUAAUCAAGAAUAACAGAAGUAUAAAAAGGUCUUGCAUAAUCCAUGUAAGUCUCAAGAUUAUGACAAGCAGACACAUUAAUCAUCCAAAACAAUUUGCAAUAAAUGUGAAACAUUACACUUCAUAGGCUUGAUAUAGACAUAGUUUAAGAUGGAACCUUAUCCAUUCAAAUUAUUUUUAAUUAAGCCAAAAUGGUUUUGACAUGGUUCAAGAAUAAAUAGAAGUGGAUGAUAAGUGAAAUGUAAUGCACUACUAGUUCAUGUGACAACAAAUGAUAAUAGGUUAGAUCCAGAACAUUAGCAGCCAGGCAAAGACUGCGGCCUUAGAUCUGGUACUCUGACUGAAGCCUCAGGCCACUAAGAUAAACAUGAUAUCAAUCAUAUUGCAAACUUCAAUGUUUAAACGAAAAAUAGCUCAUUCUAUCCCUUUUCAGUCAAAGUUUUCAUAUAUAAGAAAUGAACAUUGCAUGGUACACCAAAGUGGCUAUAUCAAGCCAGCAAAUACAAACACAAAAUGCAGCGGUACAAGAAAACAGAUCCUUUGUGUUCAAAGGUUUUCUUGCUAGCUAAACCAAUAGGUUGUUCUCUUUCCUAAAAUAUGAUAGUAUUCACAGGGCAUUAGACAUGAUUCAAAAUUAUUUAGAUUCAGAUGGAAUAGAAAGGUAAAUGGUAAACCUUGCCAGGCAAAGAAUCAUGUUGAGUAUUUGUUUGUUAUGGUUGAGUAUUUUGAGAUAGUUAUAUGUAGCUAACUUUGAGUAUUAUAUUGAGAUGAAAAUGGUUAAUAUGUGUAUGAGUGUGAAUGUGUUGAUUUGCUGAAUGGAUGAAAAGGAAUAGGUAUGUUUAAGCUAGCAUAAAGUUGGAUAAUUUCGACAAUCAUGGAUGAAAAGGAAUCGGUAUGUUUAAGCUUGGGGAAUCCGUGAUGCAUUGUACAAUAAUCGACCUUGCGAACAAACCAGAUUAUUAGAAAACCAAAAUACAAUUACUACUGCUUUGACAGUUAAUAUUAUACGAUAUCAAAUAAAUGAAAUAUCGGUUUCAGGUUAAACUGGCAUAUAAUCCUGUUUAACUCGUACAUUUAACAGAAUUUUAACAAUUUAUACAAAGGCACAAUUGCUUAAACAAUUUCACUAGAAAUGAAGUUAUGUGGUCUUAGUUGAACUUUAAGCAUUAUAUCCAUAAAAGAAAUAUGGGUAUCAGGUUAAACUGGCAACUAAUCCCCAUUCAUCUCAAAGUUUUAGGGCAUUAAAGAAUGAAUUUAAGCCAUGGGGGAGUGCAUAAGAACACUAAAAUUGAAAAGAAAAGAUAUUGGGAUAAGAACAUUAUCGUGCAAUACGAAGGGAAUAGCGUGUCUAUUUGGGAUAAGAAUCAAUGUAAUAGAGAAUAUGAAUAAUAAAGUAGUUGACUGUAAAAUAGACGCCAUGGCUGGUGAAAUCUUGCAGAACCAGAAUUUCUUUCUUUCCCAAAGCAUCCAACAGGAACAACCACACCGACAUCCAUAGAUUUGAAAAGACAAACCGAAACAAUAUUUCCUAGGGCUGAAAACCCAAAAUCUAUGGAUGAAGCAAGUGAUUCCAAUAUCACAAUAAAAAAAUUAAAAAUAAAAAGCAGAAACGAUUGAGAAGGAAGAGAUGAAAACGGAUUAGAGAGGAAAAUUUUGAAGAGAAAGAGAUGGUGAAGAAAUGGGAAGGAAGGGGAUUUGAAAAGACUGAUGAAAACGGGCAGAAGGAAUCUUCUUCUGCCAACGGUAACUAUUGCUAUUUAAUACACUCAUUUAAUAAAGUGAUAAUUGAGUUAUUUACUUUUCAAAAUUUCAUUUAAUACACUUUUAUAUUCUCAAUAUCUAAAUAUAUUUAUUUUUAAAAUAAUACUAUUUACUAUAUCAAAUAUAUAAAGAAUUAAAAAAAUAUAAUUAAAAUCUGGUAGUUUAACGGUGUUAAAUUUGGUAACUAAUAAAGAAAAACUUAAAAUUUGAGGUGGUUGUUGGAUAUUUCAAACUAAGAAAUGUUAAUUUAUUUAUUACCCAUAUAUUUUUAAUAUAACUAUUUUAAACUUUUCUAGCAAUUCAUAAAUAAUUUUAUUAUUAGAAAAAUUAAUAAAAUAUAUAUCUAAAAAUAUAAAGGAGAAUAUAAAUUUACAAUUUAUAAAUUUUAAAUUGAAAUAUAUUAUUUGAUUGAUGAUUAGAGUUAUCUACGUAUUAAAUUAGAUCAGAUUUCAUAAAUAGCCCAUAUAUGUAGGCAUAUUUAAGAUCUGUAAGUCUAUAUUGGGUCUGGAAUUCUAGGUAUUUCAGUUCUAUUAAUUUUAUUUUAUUUAAUAUACCAACCUAUUUUACAUAAAAAACAAUGAAAGUAUGGCAGCUUAUACUACCAUAGACGAAAGGAGCAUAUCAAUGAGAUUUCAUUUAUGGAUUAGAGGAAACUAUAAAAUAUAACUAAAGGAGGAGGCAGAAAACUUAAAAAAUUUUAGAUAGAAUGAAAUAGUGGCGUGUCUUCUAUAACCUCUAAUGAACACAAUAUCAAUGAAAAGCCCCUAAAUGAAAAGCCCCCAAAUAAAAUUCACAAUCCAAGGAAUAUAAAUAAUCACAGAGUAAACCUGUGACUCAGAAGGCUGUACCUUCUGAACAUCGUUCAUGUAAUACUUCAGUGCCAACUCUAGCAAGAGCCCCACCUAAUCCUUGGCUUAUUCCAUAAACUGAUACCACCUCAAAUACAAAACUCUAAUAUAUUUCCAUUGCAAGCAUCCUAAGCUAAUUGAUUGGACCCCAAAAACAAUGUAACAUCCUUUUGGAUUCAUCAUCUUCUUCCACAGCCUUCUAAGAGGCUUUAACAUCUCUUUCCUCCACCAUAACUGCACCAUUGAUCCUAGUCUUAAUUUCUUCGAUAUCAAAAUUUACAUUCCAAUUUAUAAAUCACAAUUUCUUAAAAUAAGGGUUCUUUUAAGUUCUAUAAAACUAAGAAUAAAAUGCGAAAAUUUCCUUUACAAUUUUUCUAGUUCACCCUUCUAAUAUCCCUUUAAACAAUUUAAUAAUCUUAUAAAUGUGCUAAUGGAAUGUAACCAAUGGCCAUGUCUGAAAAUUGCUUAUUGAAAAAGAACAAAGUUCAUGCCUGAUUAAGGGUGCCAUGCCUCGGAUGUUCCUGGAUGUCGGAAUACAACAAAUUACUAAAUUUGCAAGAAGCAAGAUACAAACUCCAUGCUAUUGUCAUUUAUCCAUAUUAAUAACAUCAAUUCAAUUAAAAAAGCCCCAAAAAGAUUGAGAUUCCAAAUUCAAGCUCAUAUAAUGAAUGACUGUGAUAAUAGCUAUUGAUAUAAUAUUUGAUGUUUAUACAUUAUUUUAGAUAGAAAGAAAGAAAGAAACUUGUAUAGGUGCUCUCCUCUACAGAUGAAAGUUGGAAAAGUGUGGGCCAUUAAACCAAGUUGCCAACUUCACAAACAAGUAAAGCCUCAUAGUAUAGCAAGAUAUUGCCAUCAAUCUUUUUGCACUAAUAAACCUCUUGGUUGAUAGAAAAUAUUAUUCACAUUCCUGAGGACCGAUUUUCAUUAUUCCGUUCUGCAUCAUCUUCUAGAUCAUCCUCAUCUUCAUUGGGAAUGUCUUCGCUGUAAUCAUCUAAUGAACCAAUAGGAAAAACGAUGUCACCUUAAGAAAUUUAAUGGAUUUAGUUCAAUCAACGUGGACGAGGCAAAGUUAUAGCUAUGAUAUGCACAAAGCUCAAAACAUUAGGCGCAUUCAAUGUUCUACCUUGGUUGAAAGCAAAUGAUCAAUUAUCUAUCCCAUUAAACUAUAUUGGAGAGCAUCAGCACCAUAUUAAACACGAGAAGCAAAAGGUAUUCCUAGAUUCAUGUAUACUCUAGGUUUGACUGCAUCACAAUGAAGAUUAACAAAAAGCUGCUAAGUACCGUAUAAAGGGACAAGGCAUCAAAACUGAGUGGGACAAGGUAAAUAGAAAACUCUUUACCCUUUUGAGACAAUGAAGGAGUAUCCCUGGAGUCCGAUGCGUUAUCAAGAACAUAAGGAAGAUCUAGUAAUUCCAAAAAAGAUACAAUCUGAGGAUUACGGGGAGAACCUACAAAAGGUGAGAAAAUUUUAAUAAUUAAAAAAGAAAUCGAGCAAAAACAAAUUGCAAAAGUCAUGAUUAUUCUAGUUGCAAAUCUAAAUAAAAAAGAACGCAUUCACUAACCAACAAUUAAUUGAGCUAAAAGAAGAUAAAAAAUGAAGGAUAGUGUUUCAUAACCACUUUGACAGUAAUAUUGAGAUGCCUAUGGUAUAAAUAUGCAAACAUAUAUGGUAAGUUUCUUAAAUCCAAAAGAUAGAACCAUUAAUGGAGAUACUAUUAGCACCUCAAAGAAGGAAAAGCAUCAAAAUAUCACCAUAUUAUUUACCAGAAAAAUUAAGAAUCAAAGGGUUUGUGAGGUGGAGCUGUUUGAGAAAAUUCACAAGGUUUUAUGGGUAUAAAAAAUGGGUAUUUGGAAGUGACAAAAUUUCGUAUAAAAACAACAACUUGGAGAAAGUGAGAGUGUGAGAGAAAGAACCUGGAAAUCACCAUAACAAAGGAGGAGGUCAAUUUUGAUGUUGCGAGUGUUUUCGAUGUAUUUAAAGGUGUCGUAGACCUUGUCGAGAUCUCCAUGCAUGCACCCUUCCACUGCUAUCUUCAUUGUAGGAAACCUCAGACAGCUAGUCAAGUUGACAUCAAAAUAAAUUAAAUAUUCAGUCGGUAAUUCCAACUAUAAUAAUGAAAUCCUCAUUGGCUUCCACAAUCCAUCCAUUUAUAAACUGUAAUCGCCGAAAACGGCUUCGUAGAUCACAAUGUUUCAGAUCCACAGGUUCCUAUCAGCAAGCGAAACAUGGAAUUUAUAUCGGUCCAAUCAUAGCAUCGCCGGUCACUGCUCUUGGCUACCGGCGACGUGGCAUCGGACCCAAAAAUGAUAGAUAAAAAAAAUCCAUUCAAAAGAAAACCCUCAGAGACCCGUUUCAAAUCACUCACACAGCGGAACACGCUUCGAGGAAGCACUCGCCUGAUUUCCCGACCAACCAUCAAACACCUAAGAACAAAUAUCAGAGGGCUGAGAAUUGGCAGUUGGGAAGACGGGUAUGUUCCUUAGCGAGUUGCCGCCGCUGAUUAAAGUGUCAUACGGCACUUCCUAUCUAUGGGAAUUCUUCCUCACUGGGAUUUCAAACUAUAAAACACUUUUUAUUCUACAUUUCAAAACAAAUUUAAACCAAAACAAAACAAAACAAAAAUAAAGAGUAAAAGGGAGAGUUCCACAGAUAAACCCUAGAAUGACUUGUUCUUUUUAUUAUAUGGCGGAGAAACUUAGUAGGAUUUUAUAAAGAGCAACGGUGUUGAAAGAAACCCUAGAUCUCUAAAUUGGAAAUUGUAGAGAGAUUGAAAUUCAUCAAAUUGGGCUUAUUUUGGUGAUUUUAAAUAAACCGAAAGGGAUUUUCAAGGCCCAAAAUGCUUGAUGUAGGAUGCUCCUACAAACUCCAUAUGCCUAAACUAUUGGUUUUAUUAAUCUGUUUCCAUCCAUUUUAAAAUAUAUAUAUAUUUAAUUUAAAAUAUCAGAAUGUAAAAGUGAAUUAAAACAUAAUGAAAAUAUUUAUAAAAAAAAAAUUGUUAAAAACAUUAUUAAAAAAAUUCAAAAUUUGCUCAGUUAUCCCUAAAUUUGACAUCCUACUUUUAUUGGUUGAAAACAAUUUGGAGUAAUUCCGAGUAUAUUAAACCUUCACCAGCAAAUUCAAUCCCAAACUAGUUUAAUCCCUAUCAAAUAAUAUGAUAUUAUUAUUCAUGUCUUAUUCGAUUACUUUAUAAAAAAAAAAACUAAAUCCAAACGCCUAUAAAAAUUUAUAAAUUUAAUCCACAAAUUGGUACUUAAAUUAUAUAUUUUUUCUCAUCUUUAUACCUAAUCUUUUUAUUUUAUUUUCAUCAAUAAAAUAAAAUAUUUAGAGAGGUUGAGUAAUUGGUUUCAUUAUUAUUAGGGGAGGGAACGGGCCUAUAUCCCUUUAGCGGAAUAAGAACGAAAAUUAACUCAAGGAGGAAGAAAAAAUAUAAAACUAGAUCUUAAAUUCGAACUGCAGAAUAAGAACGAAUAUUAACACCAGUAAACUUAAAAAAUCUGAACCAGAUUCAAAAUAUUUUACUAAGAAAAAAAAUAAAACGAAUAAAAAUAGUAAUUUCUAAACCUGAAAACCAAAAACCAUAAAAUAAACCAAGAAAUAGAAAUAAAAAAGCAUAAUUCUUAAAUUAAAAACAGAAAACAGAAAAUACAAUGUUGAAGCAAUGAUUCAUACCUUAUGAAGCAAGGGAUUCCAAAAAUCUCAAAAAACAGAAACGGCACAAUGUCUUUGCAGUCCUUUAGGCGUCGGUUACAAAAAAGUUAAAAAACAUUAAAAGGAAAAUUUUAAAAUGAGACAGACAAAAUAAAAGAAAGAGUAAAGGGAAAAAAAUGUUAGAAAAAAAAAAGGAAAAUGAAAAGAGAAUAAACUAUUAAAAAAUACCUAUUAUCACAAGUCACAUUAACUGAGACUCCAAAAUCAUGCCAAUUCUCCCAGCCCAAAAAACUAGGACCAUUAUCUCGAAUAGCAAAAAAACAAUGACCCAAUAGAACUAGAACAAAACGAACAAAAAGCCAAUCCAAAAAAAACGAAACCUUCCCAUCUAAACAAACUACCCAAAACAGGAAUGAAAAUGCAAUAAGAUAAAUGAUAAGCAAAAAAACACAUAAUAGUCAAUAAAUUGACUAAAGUACAACAAUACAAACAUCAACAGAUUUGAAAAGAUGAACCAAAACAAUUUUUCAUAAAGUUGAGAACCAAAAUAGUUGCUGGGAAUUGAGAUGUUUUAAUAAUUAAACUAAUCCUUUAAUAACCAAUUCUUCACAUUCUAAGUAAAUAUAUCUUUAAUAAAAAUUAAACUCUCCAUCACUAAUUUCUAAUUUGUAUAUUAUAAAUCGCAAAUAUAAUUAUUCUCUUCAUAAAAUCCGUUCCAUAAAAUAGAGGAUUAUCAAAAAUAUACAUAUCUACUCAGAAGACACGAAUUUUCUUCUCAUAGAUUUUUAAAAAAAUCUCUGAAGUCUGACAUGUGAAUUUAUUUCAUAAUUCAUCACAGCAGAAGUUUUAGAAUAAAGCAUUUUAACAAAAGAUCAAAUCAAAACAAUGUUCAAAAUUAGCUCUCAUUCUUUCUCUUAAAAUUUCUGCUCAUUUCUGCAAAUCGGAAUGGCGUAUAUUGCCCAUAUUAGGCUCAAUAAUCAUAGAGCUAAUCAAAUUAAUUUCUCAACUUGGAUACACAAAUUGAAACUUCUAAUCCAAAAAUAGAAAAAAUAUUGCAAGUUGAAUUUUGAGAUCAGAGUUUGGUAAAAAAAUUUGUCUGUCACUGUUAAUCAGAAACACGGACCAAUUAAACCUCAUCAUAUCUCAAAAUUUUAAAGAAAUUUACAACCAAAAAAAUGGAGAAUUUUUUAAUAAAUUUCAAUAAAUAAAUAAAACAAAGGAGCGAUCAUCAGACUUAAAUACAAGUAAUCAUGGAAUAAAUCCAUUCAUAUCGUUGCAGUUUUUUUUUUCUCAUCAACUGAUCGAUGACAAAUACAAUACGAAGGAAAGAAAUUUUCGGGGAAAUGAAAGCCAUAAACCAUAGAUCUGAAAGCUGAAAGGAAACGAAAUGAAACCUAGUUGUGAAGAAGAGGGGAAGGUGGCGAAAGUCUGGGUUUUCAUGGUAUUUAUAGAUCUAAUUGGGAAGGUCGCGCUAUAAACCCUAGACUGCAACGGCGGCGUUUACCACUGGGACUAGAGAAUUGAAAUGGGCUGAAUUGCUUAAUAAUUGAACCAUAGACAUUACAUUUAUAAUUGUUGAUAGUUCAUCUUCGACCAUUCUCCAAUCAGCUUUUAGCUUAUGAACCACAAUUUCAGCAUAAGGCAACCACUAAGUAGCUUAUUAACAAAUUAAAAGCUAAAAAAUUAAAUAUAAAUUGAAAUAAUAGUUUUUCCUUAAAUCUUUUUGCAAUAUUUCGGAAAAGAAAUUAAAAGAAAGAGGAAAAAGAACCGGGAGUUGAGAAGAGGGUUUGGUUUUCAAAUACAAACAAUCCCAUAGAGCACUCCAUUUUCCAUAGCAGUUAUCCAAAACUCCUUCUCUAUAAUACUGUUGCAAUUGAUGAACCGGAGCUGCCCAACGAAUUAUUGAAUCAAUUCAUAUAAAAAAUUGAAAUUGGUAAAAAAAAAAAAUAGAAAAUAGAGAGAGGGUGGAAUACAAUAGCAAAACCAGAGAGCAUCGAAACAUUUAGUGCAGGACAAGAACCCGAUCCAAAAACCACGAAACCAUCCCAUCUAAACAAACCACCCCAAAACAGGAAUGAAAAGGCAAAAAGAAAAAUGAUAAGCAAAAAAAUACAUAGUAGUCGAUAAACUGACUAAAGAACAACGAUACAAACAUCAACAGAUUUGGAAGGACGAACCAAAACAGUUUUUCUUAACGCUGAGAACCAAAACUUUAACACUUCAGUUUACAGCAUUUAAACACUUCAAUUUGCAGCACUUUAACAUCUCAAUUAACAACAUUUAUACACCUCUAUCACAGCAAUAAAACAUCUCAAUUUCUAGCAACUAAACACUCGCUUUGGAUUUCACUCAAUAAUAUACUCCAAUGGACAUAUUAUAACGAGUCACUGGUUAGCCAUUUCAAGUUUCAAGAAUUCAAUAUUGUUUGGGACAUUUCGUCAAACAAUUCAUGAGUGUCCAAAUACCUAGAAGCACUGAAAGACAAAGGAAGCGGGAAAGUACUAUAAAUGCAAAGGACAAAAAGCAAUAGAGAAAAAAAUCAAUGCCCUUGGAAACAACAGCGAAAACCUACUACUCAUUCUUUAGCAUUUUUUUUCAGUCUCAUAAAAACCAUCAACUCAAUUUCCCUUCAUGUAAGGCUAGGUAACACGGAUGAAUAUAACUCUUUAUCUUUAACCAAAAUCCGAGUAUUUCACCACAUGUAUAUAUCAAUAAUCACAAAAAACUUCCUAUUCAGCUGAUAUACAGAGAUACCAUGGGUUUACCAAAAACUUCCAAUCAAAAUCCAUUCGCACAUCAUACCCAACAGAACACGAACAAUCCCAACUAUUUUAAAGAAAAUAUACCCAAUCCUUACUAAUAAAUGCAAGCACCUAGCAGUAUGAAAAAGAAAACAUAUAUGCAUACACGAAUCUUGACAAUCUCCACCGUAUAUGAUCAUGAAAUCCAAAUCCAAAAAAACCUUUGCAAUUAGCAAAUCGGUUGAAAUUCUACAAUUCUUCAAUCACUAUCAAUACUAACAAGCAUCCCAAUUAGAUUAUUAUUAUUUUUUAAAACUAAAGUACAUAUCAAGAAACAGAAUGUCCCAGACUGGAAUCCUAUAUGCCGGUUUUGAUCGUUUAGUGGGUACUUCGCAUUUCUAUAAAGAAUGGAAAACUAUUGAUAUAAUUAUAUAUGCAUUAUUUAAAUUUCUGCAAAACAAUUAAUUAAAAUAUUUCUAAAAAUAUUCUUAUAAAUAUUAAAUUGGAUCCGACCUGGUUUAUCAUUUAAUAUAAAGGAGUUAAUAUAAAGAACGGUUCGGUGAUUGUAAACUUUAUUGAAAAACCAAUAAUUAAAUCCUAAUAAUAUUUGUUCAUGAAUCUGUCAUUUUUUUUAAGCACCUACUUUUUUUAAUUUAGGUCACCUAUUUAGAAAAUCCUAAUAAUAACCAACUGAUAUAGCAUAAAACAACCAACUAUCAAGCAACUCAUCGUUUCGACAUCUUACCUUAAUUGGCACCAAUGGACACCUUUUAGAUCUAAUAACACAAGCAAUACUGUCAAGCAUUACAAGCUUCUCAACCAACUAUCAUCCUUACGAUAAUUCAUAUCAUUCUAUUUAAUUUAUGGUCAUAUCAUUUCUUAGCAACUCAAACCACGUCCACAACAUCACAAAUAUUGUAACACCCCUUACCCGAGACCAUUUCCGGAGUAGAGCACGAGGCAUUACUUAGCUUAUCUUACUAAUUCGGAGCAUAAAAAACUAGGUUUGAAAAUUUAUUUCAUUAUUCGCAGCAAAUCUGUCCAAUCGCGCAGCAGUUACUAAAUUAAUUAUAACUUGAGAUACAGAACUCGAAAUUUAAUUCCGUAAAUUUUCCCUGAAACUAGACUCAUAUAUCUACUCACCAUAAAAUUUUUAGAAUUUUUGGUUCAGCAAAUUAGUACAGUUUAUUAGUUAAAGUCUCCCCUGUGUCACCACCUGACUGCCCUGACCUCUAGUCACUAAAAAUAAGUUUUCUCACUGUAGGAUUUUCAUAUGAAGUUCUUACUUGUUUCUACAGAAAAUAGACUCAUUAAGGAAUCUAAGCAUGUAAAUUUCAACUCAUAACCAUUUUUGUACAAUUUGUAAUUAUUUUCUAAACUCAAAACAGGGGACUCCAAAAACAGUUCUGACCCUAUCUUACUAAAAUUCACAUAUCUUAAAAUAUAAAUUUCCUUUUUCUACACCGUUAUUUUUCCAUGAAAAUAGAUUCAACAAGCUUUAAUUCCAUAUAUCAUUCACCCUCUAAUUCAUUUUAUACUAUCUUGGGUGAUUUUUCAAAUUCACGUCACUGUGCUGCCUGAAUUCUGUUUCUUUGCAAAAUUUUAUUCUUUCAUGAUUUUCAUGCAUAAUUUAUCACCUAAUCUUUCAUAACAACGAACACCUUCAUCCUUAAUCAUUUUAAUAACCAUAAAUCAUCAAAUACUUACACAUCACUCGUUAGCAAAAUCAUCAUUACAAACAUACAAAAUAACUAAAUCCCUAUACAUGCCAUAACUCAAACGUGUUUCGAUAUAAAAUACCGAGCAGUUGUAGUUGAUAGUGUGGACGAUCUCCGACUUCUUUAGGAUCCUUGAAGUAGCUUUGCAAUACUAUAAGAGAAAGAGAAAUAAAAGAAGUAAGCAUAAAGCUUAGUAAGUUUACUAGCAAAUAAAUAACAAUAUUUAACUUAAAUAAUUAAACUCAAUGUCUAUAUCUCUAGUUUACUCUUUAGUUAAUCUCAUACUAGUUCUCUUACUUGUUUACUUAGAAUACUUGUGUGCAUAACUUACUCAAUCCUUGCUGCAUCGUUGAACAUCAAUUGAUAGUAUAAUAAGUUCUUAAGUCUUACAACUUACCUGAGCUUGCCAUUUAUGCUUUAAACUGAACUUUCAUGAACAUGAUUCAUUUACAAGCCCGUUGAGCUACAUUGGAAUAAUAAGGAUACUCGGGUCUCUUCUGAUAAUAACAUGCCAAAGCCAUGUCCCAGACAUGGUCUUACAUGAGAUGUUCUCGUGAUGGUGCCCAUGCCAUGUCCCAGACAUGGUCUUAUAGGGGACCUCUCAUCUCGGUGCCAACGCCAUGUCCCAGACAUGGUCUUACAUGGGACCUCUCGUCUCGGUGCCCAUGCCAUGUCCCAGACAUUGUUUUACAGGGGACCUCUCAUCUCGGUGCCCAUGCCAUGUCCCAGACAUGGUCUUACAGGGGACCUCUCAUGAUCUUAAGGAUGCCAAUGCCAUGUCCCAGACAUGGUCUUACAUGGGAUCUCUUUACCCAAAUGUCAUGACAUUCGUAUCCAGUACCAUCCUUAUGUAUCAACGGGACUUUUAAAUUUUAAUUCUCUAUCAUUUCAUGCUUGGAUCAUCAUCAAAUAAAUUCAUGAUUGUUGGAAAUUAACAGCAUUAAUAAUAAUUAUUGAAAUAUUGCAUUUAUUUACCGUAAACUUACCUCGGUACCAAUUAUAGCCAAAUUCACCAACUUAGUCUUCAACUUUAUUCUUCCCUUUGUCUAACCUCGAGUUUCGUACUUCUUGAUCUAAAAUAGUAAAUUUAACUUAUUUAAUAAUCACAUUCAUCAAAACAGCCCUCGACUCUAACUUUUUCAAAAUUACAAUUUUGCCCCUAAACUUUUACAUAAUUACAUUUUUGCCCCAAGGCUCGGAAAUUAAACUUCAUCUCUUAUUCUUAUGUUUUAUAACAUUCUGAACAUUUUUCCCUUCUAUGGCAACAUCAAAUUCUCACUCUAACAUGUACUUAUGACUAUUAGGUAUUUUUUACCGAUUAUGUCGUUUUACUCGUUUUCACUUAAAAUCGCUUAGCAAAAGUUAUUUAACAUAAUUUCUAGCUUCAUAUUCUAUCAUAAAACAUCAAAAUAAACACUUUUCACCUAUGGGUAUUUUUCCAAAUAUAAACCCUAGGUUAAAUUAUUGCUAGAAUAAGCUAAAUUAAGCUACCGGGAUCUCAAAAACGUAAAGAACAUUAAAAACGAGGCUUGGGAUCACUUACUAUGGAGCUUGGAAGCUUGAAAACUCUAACUAUGGCUUCCCCCCUUGCUGAUUUCGUUCAUAUGAAGAAGAUGAUGAUUUUUGCCAUCUUUUCCCUUUUAAUUCAUUUUAAUUACUAGAUUACCAAAUUGCCCCUAACUUAAAAAUUUUCUAUUUCACUUAUCUCAUGUCCAUUUUUGUCUACCAAGUUACCAAUGGUAUAAUUACCAUAUAAGGACCUCUAAUUAAAAGUUUCAUAACAAUUGGACACCUCUAACAUGUAGAACUCAACUUUUGCACUUUUUACAAUUUAGUCCUUUUGACUAAAUUGAGUGCCCAAACGUCGAAAUUUUCGAACGAAAUUUUUAAAAAAAUCAUUUUGUGAAAUUGUAGACCAUAAAAAUAUAAGAAAAAUAAAUUUUUUCUCAUCGGAUUUGUGGUCCCGAAACCACUGUUCCGAUAACCUCAAAUUUGGGCCAUUACAAAUAUACCAAUUGCAUAUUUAGCCAACCUACAUUUAUAACGUUCAAGCAACUUAAAUUGCAUCAUUACAAUGACUUAUUUUAUAUCAAUAAUACAACUUAUGUUCGUGAUCAUUUGGACAGUGUAAACGAAUAUUCAGACAGCUUACAAUGACAACAUAACAUGUUUUAAAAUAACAUCAAGUGCAAUUUUGUUUUCUAACUUAUUUUCGACUGCAUUUAAUCACCAAAAAUGAAGUGCAAUAACUAAUUUUAGACUCAUUUAUACACCAAAAUUUACAGCAAUUAAACACUUCAAUUUAAAUCAUUUAAGCACCUCAAUUUACAGCAAUUAAACACUUUAAUUUACAGCAUUUAAACACCUCAACUUACAAUACUUAACAUCCCAAUUAACAACAUUUAUACACCUCAAUCACAGCCAUAAACAUGACAGCGUUUAAAUAGUUCAAUUUGCAGCACUUUAACACUUCAGUUUACAGCAUUUAAACACUUCAAUUUGCAGCACUUAAACAUAUCAAUUAACAACAUUUAUAAACCUCAAUCACAGCAAUAAAACAUCUCAAUUUCUAGCAACUAAACACUCGCUUUGGAUUUCAAUCGAUAAUAUACUCUAACUGACAUAUUAUAACGAGUCACUGGUUAGCCAUUUCAAGUUUCAAGAAUUCAAUAUUGUUUGGGACAUUUUGUCAAACAAUUCAUGAGUGUCCAAAUACCUAGAAGCACUGAAAGCCAAAGGAAGCGGGAAAGCACUAUAAAUGCAAAGGACAAAAAGCAAUAGAAAAAAAAAUCAAUGCCCUUGGAAACAACAGCGAAAACCUACUACUCAUUCUUUAGCAUUUUCAUGUGAGGCUAGGUAACACAGAUGAAUAUAACUCUAUCUUUAACCAAAAUCCGAGUAUUUCACCACAUGUAUACAUCAAUAAUCACAAAAAACUUCCUAUUCAGCUGAUAUACAGAGAUACCAUGGGUUUACCAAAAACUUCCAAUCAAAAUCCAUUCGCACAUCAUACACAACAGGACACGAACAAUCCCAACUAUUUUAAAGAAAAUAUACCCAAUCCUUACUAAUAAAUGCAAGCACCUAGCAGUAUGAAAAAGAAAACAUAUAUGCAUACACGAAUCUUGACAAUCUCCACCGUAUAUGAUCAUGAAACCCAAAUCCAAAAAAAACCUUUGCAAUUAGCAAAUCGGUUGAAAUUCUACAAUUCUUCAAUCACUAUCAAUACUAACAAGCAUCCCAAUUAGAUUAUUAUUAUUUUUAAAACUAAAGUACAUAUUUUUUAAAACUAAAGCAAGCGAAAUAUAUAUAUAUUUAAUUUAAAAUAUCAGAAUGUAAAAGUGAAUUAAAACAUAAUGAAAAUAUUUAUAAAAAAAAAUUGUUAAAAACAUUAUUAAAAGAAUUCAAAAUUUGCUCAGUUAUCUCUAAAUUUGACAUCCUACUUUUAUUGGUUGAAAACAAUUUGGAGUAAUUCCGAGUAUAUUAAACCUUCACCGGCCAAUUCAAUCCCAAACUAGUUUAAUCCUUAUCAAAUAAUAUGAUAUUAUUAUUCAUGUCUUAUUCGAUUACUUUAUAAAAAAAAACUAAAUCCAAACGCUUAUAAAAAUUUAUAAAUUUAAUCCACAAAUUGGUACUUAAAUUACAUAUUUUUUCUCAUCUUUAUACCUAAUCUUUUUAUAAUCUUUUUAUUUUAUUUUCAUCGAUAAAAUAAAAUAUUUAGAGAGGUUGAGUAAUUGGUUUCAUUAUUAUUAGGGGAGGGAACGGGCCUAUAUCCCUUUAGCGGAAUAAGAACAAAAAUUAACACAAGGAGGAAGAAAAAAUAUAAAACUAGAUCUUAAAUUCGAACUGCAGAAUAAGAACGAAUAUUAACACCAGUAAACUUAAAAAAUCCGAACCAGAUUCAAAAUAUUUUACUAAGAAAAAAAAUAAAACGAAUAAAAAUAGUAAUUUCUAAACCUGAAAACCAAAAACCAUAAAAUAAACCAAGAAAUAGAAAUAAAAAAGCAUAAUUCUUAAAUUAAAAACAGAAAGCAGAAAAUACAAUGCAGAAAAACAGAAACGGCACAAUUCUUUGCAGUCUUUUAGGCGUCGGUUACAAAAAAGUUAAAAAACAUUAAAAGGAAAAUUUUAAAAUGAGACAGACAAAAUAAAAGAAAGAGUAAAGGGAAAAAAAUGUUAGAAAAAAGGGGAAAAUGAAAAGAGAAUAAACUAUUAAAAAAUACCUAUUAUCACAAGUCACAUUAACUGAGACUCCAAAAUCAUGCCAAUUCUUCCAGCCCAAAAAACUAGGACCAUUAUCUCGAAUAGCAAAAAACCAAUGACCCAAUAGAACUAGAACAAAACGAACAAAAAGCCAAUAAAAAAAACGAAACCUUCCCAUCUAAACAAACUACCCAAAACAGGAAUGAAAUUGCAAAAAGAUAAAUGAUAAGCAAAAAAACACAUAAUAGUCAAUAAAUUGACUAAAGUACAACAAUACAAACAUCAACAGAUUUGAAAAGAUGAACUAAAACAAUUUUUCAUAACGUUGAGAACCAAAAUAGUUGCUGGGAAUUGAGAUGUUUUAAUAAUUAAACUAAUCCUUUAAUAACCAAUUCUUCACAUUCUAAGUAAAUAUAUCUUUAAUAAAAAUUAAACUCUCCAUCACUAAUUUCUAAUUUGUAUAUUAUAAAUCGCAAAUAUAAUUAUUCUCUUCAUAAAAUCCGUUCCAUAAAAUAGAGGAUUAUCAAAAAUAUACAUAUCUGCUCAGAAGACACGAAUUUUCUUCUCAUAGAUUUUUAAAAAAAUCUCUGAAGUCUGACAUGUGAAUUUAUUUCAUAAUUCAUCACAGCAGAAGUUUUAGAAUAAAGCAUUUUAACAAAAGAUCAAAUCAAAACAAUGUUCAAAAUUAGCUCUCAUCCUUUCUCUCAAAAUUUCUGCUCAUUUCUACAAAUUGGAAUAGCGUAUAUUGCCCAUAUUAGGCUCAAUAAUCAUAGAGCUAAUCAAAUUAAUUUCUCGACUUGGAUACACAAAUUGAAACUUCUAAUCCAAAAAUAGAAAAAAUAUUGCAAGUUGAAUUUUGAGAUCAGAGUUUGGUAAAAAAAUUUGUCUGUCACUGUUGAAUCAGAAACACGGACCAAUUAAGCCUCAUCAUAUCUCAAAAUUUUAAAGAAAUUUACAACCAAAAAAAUGGAGAAUUUUUUAAUAAAUUUCAAUAAAUAAAUAAAACAAAGGAACGAUCAUCAAACUUAAAUACAAGUAAUCAUGGAAUAAAUCCAUUCAUAUUGUUGCAGUUUUUUUUUCUCAUCAACUGAUCGAUGACAAAUACAAUACGAAUGAAAGAAAUUUUCGGGGAAAUGAAAGCCAUAAACCAUAGAUCUGAAAGCUGAAAGGAAACGAAAUGAAACCUAGUUGUGAAGAAGAGGGGAAGGUGGCGAAAGUCUGGGUUUUCAUGGUAUUUAUAGAUCUAAUUGGGGAGGUUGCACUAUAAACCCUAGAUUGCAACGGCGGCGUUUACCACUGGGACUAGAGAAUUGAAAUGGGCUGAAUUGCUUAAUAAUUGAAAACGGAUCGAACAAUUUUCUUGUCCUUUAAAAUUCCAGCUCUUCCUUUAUGGGCUGAGUUUAGAUUUUGGGCUUUUUCUUUCUUUCUUUUUUUCUAACAUGUGAGGUGCAGGGGUAUUAUUGCCAAUGCAAGAGUACGUAAGUUCGAGUGUGUUGAAACGUAUUACCUUUUUAUUUGUAGGUUAAGAAAGGACUAUAAAUAAUUUUAGACAUUAUAUUAAAAAGAAUAAAUAUAAUCAAGUAAUGAAAUUGUUUAAAGAAAAUCAAAACUAUUUUUUUUCAGAAAAAAAGGAAUGCAAGUAAGGGAAUACAUACAGAGAAAGAAGAAAUUGUUUUUCAAAAAACUGAUUGAGAUAAUUAUAAAAACAAAAAUUUCAAAUCAAUUUCAUCCUAUAUAUUGAAUCUCUCCAAUGGCUAUGUGGAGAUGAUGAAGCAAACUGUCAUCAGUCGAUGUUGGGUGAAAUUUUACAAGUAGAUUCUUAACUAAAACCCCAAUUGAUUUUAACAUUUUGGUAAAGUUUCAUCUUUUAUUUUUAUAUUUAUAUAAGAUAUAAUAAUUAUUUAAUUUAUUUAUAUUUAAUUAUUUUUGUUUGAGAAUCAAAUUGAUAAAAUGUGUAAAUAUCAAGGACUAAAUAUGUUAUUAUACUAGUUAAAAAAGACAAUGUCAUUUAAUGGAAAGUGACUAAAAUAGAAACGAUCUAAAACGUUAGUGAGUACAACGUCGUAGAACAGCUGCACAAACAGCCAUCAUGCAUAUCUGUAUUAGCUUUGCUUCAGAGUUCGGAGUACAUAAAAAUGCACUAAUGAAGGUUUUAAAUGAGACGUAUGUGGCCAAUGAUAUCUCAAUUAGUACGUUCGACCGGCUAGUCAACAAUAUAAGUGCUGAUAACUUCAUUUACUUCAAUGAUGAUGAAAUUCCGCCAGGGGGCAGGGGAUCCACUAAGGCUUUACAUAUUACCACUUGAUGCAAAGGGUACACAUUGCUAGGGGUAUUGGUAAACAAUGGGUCAGCAUUAAAUGUAUUGUCUUUAUCCAUAUUGAACAGAUUACCUGUGGAUAGUUCACACAUGAAAGAGUGCCAGAACAUAGUGAAGGCAUUUGAUGGCUUAGGAUUCAAGCCAGAUUUAAGGAAAAGAAAGAAAGAUUUGGAAAUGAGGCAAGAAAGAAGAAGGGCUCGUUUGAGUGGUGAAGAAAUUAAGUGGGAACUCAUGAUAAUUCCACACAUAUCUGAAUCCUUUGUGUCAAGAGGGAUUAUUCAUGCUGAGCAGAAAGCGCCAAAGAAGGGAGACAUCGUAGCAAUGUGGGACAAUAUAUACAUUAAUGCCAUAUCCGAUGAGACAACUGAAGAAGAAACCCUAUCAGAUAUUCGCCCUUAUGAACCUGGGAGCGUUUUGGACAAUUAGACUGCAGAAGAAAUUCCUGUAGUAUUUAGAGCUUACUCAGAGUAAUGUUCAAAACGCACUUGUUGCUUUAAGCCUAGAAGUAAUAAGAUUUCUUUUGUGAAAUAGGCUCAUGUUCAAACAUCAUUAUCUUAAUGAAAUACAUCUUUGCUACUAUUUGAAGUGAACAUUCUCUCAUUCUUUCAUAUAUUUUGGAUUCUUCUAUUCCCCUGAAAUCAUUCUUUCAUAAUUUUACAUAAUCAUACCCCAUAAAUAAUCAGUCAUGAAUUCAUUCGUUCUUUCUAUAUUCUUUUGAACUUACAUUAGGUAUCCAGAUAUCAACGAUAUGAGUGAUGCUGCUAGGGACUCAGAAUCUCCUUUUGAGCAAGACAUGUGUUUAGAAGGAUAUGAAAGAUAUGUGGUGAUAGAUGAGAAUAUGCAAUCCAUUUUUUUAGUAUCAUCGUUUGUUUGUAGGAUGAAACUUGUGCAUAAAAAAGGAGAUAUUCUAAUAUCUAACAGGAAUUUCUUCAAACCGCUUAUCUGUGACAAAAGUUAUUCAUUGACGACAGGUAUUUUAAAGUAUGCAGCUGUGGGCUUGAGAGCUGAAAUGAAGGAAAUUAUGUAAGGCAAACCAGUACUGGACUUGCAGGGGGAGAUUUUGAUUUCUGGAAAUGGAAUUGAAGUUGUACAGAUUAUGAAAACUUACAUUCAAUUCAUCGCAUUUCGAUCAAAACCAACGCCAAACCAAACCCACCUUCACCCAAAUCUUAUUCAUCAAUCAAAAUAUAAAAUAAAUAACCUAAAACCAUAAUAAUCCCAUGAGAAAAACCAAGGUUUGUUUUUGGAAAAAAGCUUUAAAAAAUGAAAAGAUUAUGAAUUGAAUAAUAAACCCCCAAUUUCAUUCAACAACUUUCAAUCAAAGGAAGCACCAAGCCAAACGCUCCCUCGCUCAAAUCCCACAACAUCCAACAAAGUCAGAAUAAAAAAACAAUAACCCAAAACUAGAAUAAUCUCAUAUUAAAAACCAAACGAACUUGAAACAACUAAAAAAACAAAAAUAAACGAUGUCUCACCCACUGUCGAUUGACGAAGACUUUGUUGGAAAGGUGCAUUAUUUGACAAUACCCUUAUAGUGGAAGAAGAUGUUGAAUUCUAGGUUUCUGGUUAGAAAUUCAAUGGGUUUGGGGGAGUUCCUUGGAAAUCUAGUCUGAUCAAAGGGAAGAGGGGAAGGAGAGGAUCAUUUCGGAAGGAAGUAGUAAGCCAGAAAAUCAAUGGCGUCAGUAGAACAAAGAUACGGCUAGGAGAUUUGAGGUUGAGAGAGUUUAGUAUUGUAUUUUGUUUAAGAAUUGAUUUAGUUAGAAGAGAUAAUAUGAUUGUUUAGUUUUUAAAGCUAAUGAUAAAGUUAAGGGAUAAUGCAAGACAAAUGGUUUAAAAACAAUUAGAAAAUAAAUUAAAUACUAGACUAGCAGCUAUAACUAUUAAAUGUAGAAAUUUGAUUCGACAAUAGAAAUACAAUAAUACAAAUUGAAAUAUUAGCCAAAACCAAAUAAAAAUAAAAAUAGAAAAGGUAAAGACAAGGCUCACUCCCUGUAUAUGGAUGGCUAUAUCAUGGUAUAAUUAGAGAAACGAAUCAUCAAUCUGUGCAUGGUUUCUGGAUAAAACUUUCUUGUAAAUAAAUAACAAGGUCUCUUCAUUAAAUUCCACAAGCAUGACCCAUUUAUCCCUCUCCUCUGCACCAACAAACACAACACCUAUUUGUUCCUUCUUUCUUCCAAACAAACAUGCAUAAAAUCUCAAAUUCAAAACAAAAUACAGUAGGAAACAUUUUUUGACCUUUGGACUACUUGUGAAAUGUAUGCUUUCCUCAAUGAAUUGCACAGUCAAUCAAACACCAGUUUCAAAGUUUGUACCAACAAACUCACAUUUGGGAAUGUAUGUAUAGAUGGACGUACCGUAAGGUUCUUGAGGAACUCAAAUGUUAUAUCUUGGGCCCUAAAUGCUCUAGGAUGUCACUUCCCUUUUGACCAAUCUACAUACGUUACUGACCUAUUUGCGACUCCACUAGAAUUAGUCAUUUGUUGUAUAUAAAAAUAAUUGUUUUCACGACGUCACUUUUAUAUAUAGUAAGUAUUGAUACCAUAAAAAAAAGUCUGAGGUACCAACAUUAAAAAAAGUUGGCAAAUAAUUCCCGUCUGAAUAGCAAUUGCGUCUAUCCAUAUGUGGCUGACACAACAACAUAAGAUUUUUGUUAACGAAGCGGCACCCAUCAGGAUUUAUUUGUGAUUUAAAUUAAAAAAUGAAAAGUAUUACAAGUUUAAUAAUAGAAACUGAUAGGCAAGCAACAUUCUAAGGUUAUAUAGUUAAUUUAUUAUAGCAACAAAGUAGCUUUGCUCAACAAUUACCUUGCAAUAAUUCUUGAAUUUUCUGUAAUAUAGGUUGUCUGCCAUAACUAUUAUGGCAUGCUGGCACUUCAUGUUGAACCACUAAAAUGAAAUAUGAAUCAAAACCAACUAAACGUAUGAGAAACAUCAUUGCCACAAUUUAUUUUUUUGCAAAAAAAAAACUAUUACAAAAGGUCCAUGAAAACAUAUUCAGGCAAAACCUUACAAUCUCUUGCCAGAAAACAUUGUUAAAACUAAACACUUACAGCUAUUUAUCUACUCAGCACAAUAAGCUACUAUGGCAGUUAAUCAUAAUAAUUUUUAAAAGACAGGGAAUAGGACUUUACAACUACACAAAUCCAUGAAAAGACAUCCACCAUAGUCAAUUGUCAUAUUCUACUUACAAAAUACAUAGGUAGUUAUCUUAGAAACUAUUUGCUGGCUUAAAUUAUAAAUUUAGAAGUUGCAUGCCAUAAAAUCAUAGAAAUUAAGACAUGAUCAUUUCAUUUAUGCACAACGCAAACCUUACCCUAACAAGUAAUUGCACAACUAUCUAUGGUUUGGACUAUAAAUUUUACCGAGAGAAAAGUAGAGUAAUACAUGACGGCAUCCUCACUAAAAAGGUAACUAUCAGGAAUAUAAGAUCUACUAUACGGUGCUUUUUAUUCUUAUAAUAAUGAUGAUUAAAAUUUAGAUAAGGAUUAUGUAUUAGAUAAAAUCAAUGAUGUGGACAUAAAUGGUUGAUGCAUAAAAUAUAGUUUAGAAAAGGAUUUCUAAUAAAAAUAUGUAUUACAUCUUUUGUUUAAGCCUAAACAAUUGAGCUUGUUCUUAUAUUUCUCUCUUCUUUUUAUGUUUCCCUCUCUAAGCUUUUUCUUUGAUUCUUCUAUCCCUUCCAAGAAUUUGGUGUCAAGAACCUUAUAUGAUCUUAAAGGGCUUACAAAUCUUUAAAAGUUGAGUAAGAAGUUAGCUAGCAUUUGUCAACACCAAAUGGUUUAAGAUUGUUGAUUUUUGCCUCCACCACCUACCUUUUUAAGUGAAAACAAAUAAAUAUAGGCUGUCAACAUGAAGACAUAUCUGAAUGUUUUUUAUCUUUACAAUGUGGUUGGAAAUGAAAGAAAGAACACUAACUUUUGGUCAAUCCAUUUAUAACUCAGACAAAGAAUCAUAGCAAGAAAAGGAAAAGAGAUAUAAAGUCAAAAGUUGUAACAAAUCAUCCAUUUCUAAAGAAAAAUUUAAUUAGAAUCAUAAUAUGACAUGUUCAUGGAGGACUUCCAUGGUAGUAACUAGGCAAAUACAAGUGCUUAACCUCAAAAGAUAAUUUUAAGUUUUAAAGAUGAAAGAGACUGAAACUUUGAAAGAGUACAAAGACAGACUCAUAAAUAUAAUGAAUAAGCACAAAUUACUUGGGAGAGGAGAUGAAAGACAAAAGAGUUGUAAAUUGGAAGAUUUCAAAUACUUGACUAAGUUUUUUUUUGGCAAAACUAAUUUACGCUUUUGGGGCUCGAGAGUAAAGGACGGUUAUUAUGCAAAGGAUUUAAUAAAAGGUGUAUUUAUGGCCAAAGAGAAAGGCAAAAUGCAACAUGAGUACAAGAACGAAAAAUCAAGAGAGAGAGGAAACAAGAAUAAUGUAAAAAAUGGAAAUAAAGGAAAAUUUACGUCAUGUUCACAUUGCAAAAAAAGGAAAAACAUCUGGAGAAAUAUUGCUACUAGAAGCUAGACAUAUAAUGCAAGUCUUGCAAACAACUAGGCCACAUGGAGAAAGUUUGCAAGAAAAACCAACAACAAGAUCAACAAGCUAAAGGAUCAAAUGUCCUACAACAAUAGGAUGAGGAAGUUUUGUUUCUUAUUGCUAUGCAAUAAUGGCUCAUUGAUAAUAAAAGCAUUCAUCAUAUGACAUCAAAUAUCUACUUAUUCGAGGUGUUGGACAAAACUUGUUCCAAAGUCAAAAUUGGUAAUGAUAAGUUCAUAUAAGUUAAAAGAGAUGAGCUAUGAUAGUCGAGACACCCUAAGGUAAAACACCAAUUAAGAUGUUUUAUUUGAAUAAAUAGAUAAAAAUGUCCUCAAUGUAGGAAAAAUACUAGAAAAGAAUUAAUUUUUGGUGUUUAAGAUAAAACAUGCAUAAUUUAUUAUCCAUCAGGCCAUGAACUCUUAACUGUUGGUGUAACAGCCUAAUUUUCAGUGGUGUCGGAACAGUGAUUCGAGAUCACUAAAUUUGACAAAUGAGUAGGAAAUAUUAUUAAUUUAGUGAGUAUAAGUUAAAUGUGAAGCUAGGAAAAAUUUUGAAGUAGUGAAUAGUGUACUAAAAAUAAAUAUUAAAAUAAUUAGAAUAAAAAAUGAGGUAUCGAGACCUCGGGAAUUCUAAAUCGAGCCAUAAAUAUUUUUAUAAAUAUUUAUAGAGUGUUAAUAAGUUAGUAUUAAAGUUUCGUCAAGAAAUUUUAAAGUUCUGAUAGUUAAUUGAACAAAAAGGACUAAUUGUAUCAAAUGUAAAAUUGUGAGAAAUGAUUAAAUAGCUUAAAUGAUAAAAGAAAGAGGGUUUAAAAGACAAAUAGACCCAAUAUAUCUUUAUUUUUCUGCAUUCUUAUCGGCAAAAACACCAUGAAAGAGUUCCCUCAAGCUGGUUUUUCAUAUUUUUACUGCAAGUAAGUUCAAUUCUUGAUUAUUUUUUGAAAUUUUUGUGUUUUCGUGACUUUUACAACUAGGUCCACUUGUUGAAUUCAUUAGUUUUUUAUUCUAUGAAAGAAAUUGAAAGUUGCUAUGAAUAUGUGAUGGAAGUAUAUGAUGAUUUGGCAUGGAAUUAGUGCUUUAAAUUGUUUAUAUGCUGAUUUUAUUGAAAGAAUUGAAUAGAGAGUGAAUGUUUGAGACCUAAUUGUAAAAGAGUUUGAAGUUAGAGUUUUAUGUAAAAAAUUAUGAAUUUAAAUAGUUAUGAAAUAACUUAUAAUUUCUAGGAAAAGUAUUAAUUGAGAAAAUUAUCUUAAUUUAGGGGUUAAUUGAGCAAGGACUGAAUUGUAUGAAUUGUGAAAUUUGGGGCAAAAUAGAAAUCAACAUUUUGCACUAAAACUGUUUUGGACAGCAGCAGUGGUCUAACUUUGAAAAAUCACCAAAAAUUGUAGAAAUGGAAUUAGAGGAUGAAUAAAAUAUGAAAUUAAAGAUUAUUGAGUCUAGUUUCUUAUAAAAGAAAAGAUGUAAGAAACGGAAUUGUAAAUCAUGAGAUAUGAUAAAUUUUGUGAGAUAAGGUCAGAAUGAUUUCGGGUUCCCCUUUUCUAACUUUGUAAAAUCAUAAAAAAAUUGGAUAAAAAUAAUUAGAGGCUUAUACUUAUAUUUUUAGAAUCCUGAAUGAGUGUAUUUUCAAUAGAAUCAAACGGUAACAUCAUUCGAAUUCUGUACGAGGAGAUAAUUAAUUUUUAGUGAAGAAGGGUCGGAACUGUCAGAUAGUAGAACUGGGGAGACUUCAAUGAAUAAACUGUAUUAAUUGGCCCAACGAAAAAUUAUGAAAUCUUUAUGGUAAUAAGAUAUGUGAGUCUAGUUUCAGGGAAAAUUAGCGGAUCUUAAUUUGGAGUUCUGUAUCUUCAGAUAUAAAUAAUUUAGUGACUAUGACACGGGUGGAUAGCUUGAAUAUUCACAUAAGUAAUUAGUGAAAAUUAUGGAUAAGGUUACUUACAUGUGUGUUAUUUCUACCAAGGAUGUGGAUGGAGAGGAGGAGGAGGAAAAAUAUGUAACGGCCUAAUUUUCACUGGUGUCGGAAAUGAUGAUUUGAGAUCACUAAAUCCGACAAAUAAGAUUGAAAAAGAUAAUAAUUUAAUAUUUAUGAGUCAUGUAAGAAUUUAGAAGAAUUUGUGAAAUGGUGAAAAUAGUGAAUUAAAAGAAUUUAUGAGGUCAAACUGUCAAAAACGAGGUUUCGAGACCUCGAAUUUGAAAAUCAAGCUAUAAAUAUUUUUAUAAAUAUUUAUGAAGUUUCAUUUAGCUAGUAUUAAAGUUUGGUUGAGAAAUUUUAACGAUUAGGUAGUCAAUUAAAUAAAAAGGACUAAAUUGUAAUAAAAAUAAAUUUUACUAAAAGGAUUAAAUAGGUCAAGUGUUAAAAGAAGGAAGAUUUAAAGGGAAAUUAAGCCUAAAAGUGAAUAGGGUGGACGGCAAAGGCAAGAAAAUCAGCAGAGAAAUAAGGGAAAUAAGGGCAAAAUUGGAAAUUUUACAACUUUAGCAUAUAAAAAAAAGAACAAAAUUGAAGAAUCUAGAGAUCUCUUCAUAUUUUAUCAGCCAAAAUGUCAUAGAAGGUCUGGAGAAAGCUGGUUUUUCAUAUUUUUACAUCAUGUAAGUUUAAUUCUUGCUUUUUCUUGAUAAUUUUUAUGUUUUUAUGACUUUUACAAUUAGGUCCACUUAUAGAAUUCAUUAGUUUUUUAUUUUAUUGGUAAAAUUGGAAGUUACCCUGGAUGGAUAAGGGAAGUUUAUGAUGAAAUUUUAUGAAAUUUAAGUUCUAAUUUCAUAUUAAGGUGGUUUUAUUAAGUGAUUUUGAUAGGAAAUGAUAUUUAGGACCUAAUUGUGAAAAAGUUGUGAAUUGAAGGUUUCUGUUGAAAUUAAGAAUAUAAAAGGUUUUGGAAUAGUUUAUAAUGAUAAAAUAAAGUGUUAAUUGAGAAAAAUUACUUCAAUUAAUGGGUGAAUUGAGCAGGGACUAAAUUGUAAAAAUUGAAAAGUUUAGGGUAAUUGUGUAAUUUUUAAAAUUUAAGGGCGUAAAUUGUGAAAUAGAAUAGAAUUGAAAUGGAUGCUAAUGAAGGAAUGAUUUUAUAAUUAUAGAUCAAGAAAACAAAGUGAAUCGUGGGAAGGAGAAAAUUCAAGAAUAGUCCCUGAAUUUCUACGACUUUUGCAAAUUAGCCCAGGUAAGUUCAUAUGGAAAAGUUCAAUGUUUUGUUAUGAAAAUCUUAUGAUUGUUAAAGUAUUUUAUUGUUGAUGAAUACUAUCAAUUUCCAUUAACUAAUAAAUAAUGUGUAACUAAAAGUACAAAUUAGUAGGGACAAUGGAUUUGAGUGCUUCCAUUCUGUGACCCUGAUGAAUUGACGGAGAAUAUGUGAUAAGUGCGCCCAUUUAAGACCAUAGUUGGGCUAUGGGAUCAGUGCAAUGUGAUAAUGUGAUUCCGUAUAAGACCAUAGCUGGGCUAUGGCUUCGGUAUAAUGUGAUAAUGUGAUUCCGUAUAAGACCAUGUCUGGGAUAUGGCUUCGGUAUGAUAUGUGAACCGUCUAAGACCAUGGCAAGGCUAUGGCUUCGGUGUGUGAUGCGUAACAAUGUGAAAGUCCAUAGUUUACUAUGGCAAUGUGAUAAUGAAGCACUCAAUUCUCUUAUUGUUCCCUAAUUUGACAAUGAAGUAAAUGAGGAAUGGGCCUAAGGGAGUUAAAUUAUGAGUAGCCAUAUGGAAAUUAUUCAAAUGAGUUAUUACUGAAAUUGUGAUUUGGAGGAUGAAAUAGUUAAACUAAUAGAUAUAUGAUUGUGUACAAUAUUUGAUAAGAUUUGUGUUUUUAUGCCUAUGAGCUUACUAAGCUUCAAUAAGCUUACUUGUGUAUGUUUGAUAAUUUCUUUUGUAGAUUGAAUUAAAGAGAAGUUGGUAGAUCGGAUCAACACAACAAGACACACUAUUCAGAUCAAUUCCGGUUGUUUUUGUUUUAUGUUUAAAGAUUUAUAUGGCAUGUAUAGAGUUUGAAUGAAUUGAAGUAAAUAUGUUAUAAACUAGUUAACAAUAUUUGUACUAAAACAGUUUUUGGUAAGUAGCAGUAGUUUGACUUUGAAUAUUCACCAUAAAUUGUGGAAAAUGAGUUAAGGGCUGAAAAAAAUGAGAUUAAAGCCUAAUGAGUCUAGUUUCAUAUAGAGGAAACGGUGCAUGCAAUUGGAUUUUAUGCUAUGAGAUAUUUAAAUUAUUGUGAGACAGAGUCUGAAUGACUUCGAGUUCCCUUGUUCUGAUUUGUAAAAAUCAUUAAAAAUUGUAAAAAAAUAAAUAGGAGUCAUACUAUAUAUGUAUGGAUUCCUUAUUGAGUCUAUUUUUAAUAGAAAUAAACGUAUUGGUUAUUUGAAUUCUGUACAUGGAGAAAUUUGGUUCGUAGUUUACAGGGGUCAGAGCACCCGAACCCUGAAACAGGGGAGACUUCAACUAAUAAACUGUACUAAUUGGCCCAACCAAAAAUUCUAGAAAAAAAUUAGUAGAUAUAUAUAUGAGUCUAGUUUCAGGGAAAAUUUACGAAUCCUGAUUUUGAGUUUUGGAACUUGAGAUAUGAAUUUUUAAGCGUCUGUGAUGCAGUUGGACAGCUUGUCUGAAUUUGUUUAAGUGCCCAAAUAAGUUUAGUAAUGCCUCAUACUCGACUCCGGCGACGGUCUCGAGUAAAGGGGGUGUUACAUUUAUUGGUAUCAGAGCUUCGGUUUAGCCGAUUCUCAGAAUAUAUAUGAUGUGAAAAGUGUCUAGAAUUACAUGCCAUGUAAAUCUGUGAUAGUGUGAUGUGUAUGAUCCGAUCUAACCCUUGUUUUUAUUAUAGAUUAUCUUCGAUUUGAAAAGAUGUCAGAUAGACCAGAACAAAUUGAGCAAGAAGAAGUUAACAGUAGAGUACAAAUCUCUGAACAAGGAACAAAUAGUGAAGUUCCGAUUUCAUUGAUGCGAGAACAAGAACUCAAAAAUAUGAUUUAUGGAUUCAUGAAUCAGUGGUAUAAUGAGAAUGUGCGAGAAAGAGAUCAGACUCUGCAACCUCCUCCCCCUAUCUCAACAUUGGUAGUACCCCCGGUUGCUCCUCCACCUCCUCCGACAACUGAAUCUGGCAAACGUUCUUCAUUUGAAAAGCUCAGAAAACAUGGGGCUGAAGAAUUUCGGGGAAGAACAGAUGAUGACCCCGUUAAAGCUGAAUAUUGGUUACAAAGUAUAAUGAGGGUUUUUAAGCAAAUGGCGUGCUCACCAGAAGAUUACUUAAUAUGUGCCGUGUCAUUAUUGAAAGAAGAAGCUUAUAACUGGUGGGAAACAAUAGAAGCUGUUGUACCGGCUGAGAAGAUCACUUGGAAAUUUUUUCAAAAUGAAUUUAAGAAGAAAUAUGUAGGUAGGAGAUAUCUGGAUAAGAAGAAAAGUGAAUUUCUCGACUUGCGACAGGGAAACAAGUCAGUGGCUGAAUAUGAAAGAGAAUUUGUCUAUCUGAGCAAAUAUGCUCGAGAUAUAGUACCCACUGAAGAAGAAAUGUGUAUCAGAUUUGAAGAAGGGCUUAAUGAUGAGAUUAAAAUGAUGAUAGGGGGCAUUGAAAUACGAGAAUUUGUUGUUCUAUCAGAUCGUGCUCAGAAGCUUGAAGAAGUAUAUAAUAGUAAGAUGCAACGAGAUAGAAGAAGUAAAGAAUCUUUCAAAAGAAGUGCAUCUAAGUCAUUUUCGGUUUUACCUGUGAAGAAAUCUAAAGAGGAAUUCAGUCGAGCCACUUCAGCAUCGGAAAGAUCAGGAAAAAGUAGGCCAAGACAAUCUGAUUACAAAGCAUCUGACAAACCUGCUGUUAGUGUGGGUAGUGUACAAAUUACCCAAAGGCCUAAGUGUCAACAUUGUGGAAGAAGUCACCCCGGUGAAUGUAGAAGUAAGUUAGGGGCUUGUUAUAAAUGUGGGGCCACUGAUCAUUUUAUUCGUGAUUGUCCCCAAUUACAAGUAGAAGAAGUGGAACAGAGGGAGAAACGGAAAAUUCCUCCUCAAAAAGGAAGACGCUCUGGUCAGAGUAGUGCUACAAGGGCUACUCGUUUAGGUAUGAAAGAUACUGCUAGCCGAUCAGAAGUUAGGGCCCCUGCUCUUUCUUAUGCCAUUCGAGCAAGAGAAGAAGCAACAGCUCCAGACGUAAUUGCUGGUACUUUCUAUCUUUAUGAUGCUCCUGUGUAUGCUUUAAUAGACCCUGGGUCUACUCAUUCAUAUAUUUGCACUAUGUUAGCAUCUGAAAAGAAUUUAUUUGUUGAGCCUACUGAUUAUGAUGUACAAGUUACAAAUCCAUUAGGUCAAAGUGUGGUAGUUAAUUUAAUAUGUCAUAACUGUCCACUGAAAGUUAAGGGCUGUGAUUUCCCCGCUAAUUUGAUGCUGCUACCCUUUCGUGAAUUUGAUAUUAUCUUGGGCAUGGACUGGUUAAUGAAGCAUGAUGCGAUAGUGAAUUGUCGAGAAAAAUGAAUUAGCUUGAAAUGUCAAACAGGAGAUAUUAUUUUGGUUGAGUCUGGAAAUUUGGAUGAUAUGGUUAGAAUGAUUUCCUUUAUAUCUGCUCAGAAAUUGUUGCGUAAAGGAAAUGAGACUUAUUUAGCCUAUAUUCUUGAUACUCGGAGUUCUGAAUCAAAGUUAGAGCAACUACCUGUUGUAAAUGAAUUCAUGGAUGUAUUUCCUAAAGAAUUACCAGGUUUACCACCAGAUAGAGAAGUUGAAUUGGUGAUAGAUGUGCUUCCGGGAACAGCUCCCAUAUCGGUGACACCGUAUAGAAUGGCUCCAGCAGAAUUAAGAGAGUUAAAAACGCAGUUGCAAGAGCUAUUAGACAAAGGGUUUAUCAGACCGAGUAUGUUGCCAUGGGGUGCACCUGUCUUAUUUGUGAAAAAGAAGGAUGGUUCAUUGAGGCUGUGUAUAGAUUACAGGCAGCUGAAUAAGGUAACAAUUAAAAAUAAAUAUCCUUUGCCUCGUAUUGAUGAUUUAUUCGAUCAGCUUAAGGAUGCUGCAGUGUUUUCAAAAAUAGAUCUCAGAUCUGGGUAUUAUCAAUUAAAGGUAAAGGAAUGUGAUGUGCCGAAAACAGCAUUUAGAACUCGGUAUGGUCAUUAUGAGUUCUUAGUUAUGCCAUUCGGUUUGACAAAUGCUCCUGCUGCUUUUAUGGAUUUAAUGAAUCGAAUUUUCCAGUCUUACCUGGAUAGAUUUGUGGUUGUGUUUAUUGACGAUAUACUGAUCUAUUCAAAGACAAAAUCCGAGCAUGCUCAGCACUUGAGAAUUGUACUACAGAUAUUAAGGGAAAAACAGUUAUAUGCAAAAUUUAGUAAAUGUGAAUUUUGGCUUCAUAAAGUGGGAUUCUUGGGUCACAUUGUGUCAGUUGAUGGUAUACGGGUAGAUUCGAGUAAGGUGUGAGCGGUGAUUAAUUGGAAAACUCCAAAGAAUGUUACAGAAGUGCGAAGUUUCCUUGGAUUAGCUGGUUACUAUCGUCGAUUUGUGAAAGACUUUUCACUGAUUGCUUCACCGAUAACUAAAUUAUUACAGAAGAAUGUUAAGUUUGUAUAGUCUGAUGAGUGCCAACGAAGUUUUGAUCAAUUAAAGAAAAUGUUGACGAAGGCUCCAGUGUUAACUCAGCCUGAAUCAGGUGUGCCAUAUGUAGUAUAUAGUGAUGCGUCUCUGAAUGGUUUAGGUUGUAUAUUGAUGCAGUCAGGAAAAGUUGUAGCAUAUGCUUCUCGACAGUUGAAACCACAUGAGAGGAACUACCCUACACAUGAUCUUGAAUUAGCUGCCAUAGUAUUUGCUUUAAAAAUUUGGAGACACUACCUAUAUGGAGAGAAAUGUUAUGUGUACACAGACCAUAAAAGUUUGAAAUAUUUAAUGUCGUAGAAAGAGCUGAAUUUGAGACAGGGGCGAUGGUUAGAGCUGUUGAAAGAUUACGAUCUUAUCAUUGAUUAUCAUCCGGGUAAGGCAAAUGUAGUGGCAGAUGCACUUAGUCGGAAAUCAUCAUUAUUUGCUAUUCGGGCGUUAAAUGCUCAUUUAUCUGUUAAUGAAAAUGGUUCUAUAUUAGCUGAAUUAAAGACAAAACCAGUGUUCUUUCAACGAAUUCGGGAAUUGCAAGAUGAAGAUCCGAAGUUGGUGUUGAAACGACAAAUGGUUCGGGAUAAUUUGAACUUAGAUUACUCUAUUGAUAAUAGUGGUAUGUUAUACCAUUGUAAUAGAAUUUGUGUCCCGAAUAAUCUAGAAUUGAAGAAGGAUAUCUUAUCAGAGGCUCAUAGUAGUAUGUACUCGAUUCAUCCGGGUAGUAUGAAAAUGUAUUGUGAUUUGAAAAAAAUGUAUUGGUGGCCUGGUAUGAAACGGGAAAUUUGUGAAUUUGUGGCAAAAUGUUUAAUCUUUCAACAGGUAAAAGCUGAACAUUAAGUGCCUACAGGUUUGUUACAACCCAUAAUGAUUCCAGAAUGGAAGUGGGAACAUGUGACGAUGGAUUUUGUAUCUGGAUUGCCAGUGAUUCCGAAGAAAAAAGAUUCGAUUUGGGUGAUAGUAGACAGAUUAACUAAGUCGGCGCAUUUUAUUCCGGUCAGAACAGAUUUCUCGCUUGAUAAGUUAGCGGAAUUAUAUGUGUCAGAAAUUGUGAGAUUACAUGGGGUGCUGACAUCAAUUAUUUCUGAUCGAGAUCCGAGGUUUACUUCGAGAUUUUGGAAUAAACUACAGGAAGCUUUAGGUACUAAGUUAAAAUUUAGUACAGCUUUUCACCCUCAGACUGACGGGCAAACAGAGCGAGUGAUUCAGAUUUUGGAAGAUAUGUUAAGGUGUUGUAUACUUGAGUUCAGUGGCAGCUGGGAAAGGUACUUACCUUUAGCUGAAUUUGCUUAUAAUAAUAGUUAUCAAGCUAGUAUUAAAAUGGCACCGUUUGAAGCUCUGUAUAGAAGGAAGUGCAGAACUCCGUUGUAUUGGUCAGAAUUAAGUGAAUCAAAAUUAGUCGGAGUGGAUUUAAUUCGGGAAACUGAAGAAAAAGUUCAGAUUAUUCGAGAAAGUUUGAAAGCUGCUUCCGAUCGUCAAAAGUCGUAUGCAGAUUUGAAAAGAAGAGAUAUAGAGUUCAAUGUGGGUGAUCGUGUGUUCUUGAAAGUUUCUCCGUGGAAGAAAGUUUUACGGUUUGGUAGAAAAGGAAAGCUUAGUCCACGAUUUAUCGGACCAUACGAAAUCAUUGAGAGGAUCGGUCCGGUAGCUUAUAGAUUGGCCUUGCCUCCAGAACUUGAGAAAAUCCAUAAUGUAUUUCAUGUAUCUAUGUUAAGACGAUAUAGAUCAGACCCUUCACAUGUGAUUCCUCAUACUGAGAUAGAGCUACAAUCAGAUAUGACUUAUUCGGAGGAACCAGUGAAAAUAUUAGCUCGGGAAGUUAAAGAACUACGGAAUAAACGAGUACCGUUAGUAAAAGUGUUAUGGCAUCGACAUGGAUUGGAGGAGGCAACUUGGGAAAUAGAAGAAUCUAUGAAAUCACAAUAUCCACAUUUAUUUUCAGGUAACAAAUUUCGAGGACGAAAUUUUUAAAGGGGGGGAGAGUUGUAACGGCCUAAUUUUCAGUGGUGUCGGAAAUGAUGAUUUGAGAUCACUAAAUCCAAAAAAUAAGAUUGAACAAGAUAGUAAUUUAAUAUUUAUGAGUCAAGUAAGAAUUUAGAAGAAUUUGUGAAAUGGUGAAAACAGUGAAUUAAAAGAAUUUAUUAGGUCAAACGGGUUAAAAACGAGGUAUCGAGACCUCGAAUUUGAAAAUCAAGCUAUAAAUAUUUUUAUAAAUAUUUAUGAAGUUUCAUUUAGCUAGUAUUAAAGUUUGGUUGAGAAAUUUUAACGAUUAGGUAGUCAAUUAAAUAAAAAGGACUAAAUUGUAAUAAAAAUAAAUUUUACUAAAAGGAUUAAAUAGCUCAAGUGUUAAAAGAAGGAAGUUUUAAAGGGAAAUUAAGCCAAAAAGUGAAUAGGCUGGACGGCAAAGGCAAGAAAAUCAGCAGAAAAAUAAGGGAAAUAAGGGCAAAAUUAGAAAUUUUACAACUUUAACAUAUAAAAAAAAGAACAAAAUUGGAGAAUCUAGAGAUCUCUUCAUAUUUUAUCAGCCAAAACGUCAUAGAAGGUCUGGAGAAAGCUGGUUUUUCAUAUUUUUACAUCAUGUAAGUUUAAUUCUUGUUUUUUCUUGAUAAUUUUUAUGUUUUUAUGACUUUUACAAUUAGGUCCACUUAUAGAAUUCAUUAGUUUUUGAUUUUAUUGGUAAAAUUGGAAGUUACCCUGGAUGGAUAAGGGAAGUUUAUGAUGAAUUUUUAUGAAAUUUAAGUUCUAAUUUCAUAUUAAGGUGGUUUUAUUAAGUGAUUUUGAUAGGAAAUGAUAUUUAGGACCUAAUUGUGAAAAAGUUGUGAAUUGAAGGUUUCUGUUGAAAUUAAGAAUAUAAAAGGUUUUGGAAUAGUUUAUAAUGAUAAAAUAAAGUGUUAAUUGAGAAAAAUUACAUCAAUUAAUGGGUGAAUUGAGCAGGGACUAAAUUGUAAAAAUUGAAAAGUUAAGGGUAAUUGUGUAAUUUCGAAAAUUUAAGGGCGUAAAUUGUGAAAUAGAAUAGAAUUGAAAUGGAUGCUAAUGAAGGAAUGAUUUUAUAAUUAUAGAUCAAGAAAACAAAGUGAAUCGUGGGAAGGAGAAAAUUCAAGAAUAGUCCCUGAAUUUCUACGACUUUUGCAAAUUAGCCCAGGUAAGUUCAUAUGGAAAAGUUCAAUGUUUUGUUAUGAAAAUCUUAUGAUUGUUAAAGUAUUUUAUUGUUGAUGAAUACUAUCAAUUUCCAUUAACUAAUAAAUAAUGUGUAACUAAAAGUACAAAUUAGUAGGAACAAUGGAUUUGAGUGCUUCCAUUCUGUGACCCUGAUGAAUUGACGGAGAAUAUGUGAUAAGUGCGCCCGUUUAUGACCAUAUUUGGGCUAUGACAUUGGUGCAAUGUGAUAAUGUGAUUCCGUAUAAGACCAUAGCUGGGCUAUGGCAUCGGUAUAAUGUGAUAAUGUGAUUCCGUAUAAGACCAUGUCUGGGAUAUGGCUUCGGUAUGAUAUGUGAACCGUCUAAGACCAUGGCAAGGCUAUGGCUUCGGUGUGUGAUGCGUAACAAUGUGAAAGUCUAUUGUUUACUAUGGCAAUGUGAUAAUGAAGCACUCAAUUCUCUUAUUGUUCCCUAAUUUGACAAUGAAGUAAAUGAGGAAUGGGCCUAAGGGAGUUAAAUUGUGAGUAGCCAUAUGGAAAUUAUUCAAAUGAGUUAUUACUGAAAUUGUGAUUUGGAGGAUGAAAUAGUUAAACUAAUAGAUAUAUGAUUGUGUACAAUAUUUGAUAAGAUUUGUGUUUUUAUGCCUAUGAGCUUACUAAGCUUCAAUAAGCUUACUUGUGUAUGUUUGAUAAUUUCUUUUGUAGAUUGAAUUAAAGAGAAGUUGGUAGAUCGGAUCAACACAACAAGACACACUAUUCAGAUCAAUUCCGGUUGUUUUUGUUUUAUGUUUAAAGAUUUAUAUGGCAUGUAUAGAGUUUGAAUGAAUUGAAGUAAAUAUGUUAUAAACUAGUUAACAAUAUUUGUACUAAAACAGUUUUUGGUAAGUAGCAGUAGUUUGACUUUGAAUAUUCACCAUAAAUUGUGGAAAAUGAGUUAAGGGCUGAAAAAAAAUGAGAUUAAAGCCUAAUGAGUCUAGUUUCAUAUAGAGGAAACGGUGCAUGCAAUUGGAUUUUAUGUUAUGAGAUAUUUAAAUUAUUGUGAGACAGAGUCUGAAUGACUUCGAGUUCCCUUGUUCUGAUUUGUAAAAAUCAUUAAAAAUUGUACAAAAAUAAUUAGGAGUCAUAAUAUAUAUGUAUGGAUUCCUUAUUGAGUCUAUUUUUAAUAGAAAUAAACUUCUUGGUUAGUUUAAUUCUGUACAUGGAGAAAUUUGGUUUGUAGUGUAUAGGGGUCAGAGAACCCGAACCCUGAAAUAGGGGAGACUUCAACUAAUAAACUGUACUAAUUGGCCCAACCAAAAAUUCUAGAAAAAAAUUAGUAGAUAUAUAUAUGAGUCUAGUUUCAGGAAAAAUUUACGGAUCCUGAUUUUGAGUUUUGGAACUCGAGAUAUGAAUUUUUAAGCGUCUGUGAUGCAGUUGGACAGCUUGUCUGAAUUUGUUUAAGUGCCCAAAUAAGUUUAGUAAUGCCUCAUACUCGACUCCGGCGACGGUCUCGAGUAAAGGGGGUGUUACAAAAUAUAUGAAUGACUCGUGUAUAAAUUGAUCACAUGCCCGAUUAUAAUCGAUAAGUGUUGGAUUAAAAAUGAUAUAGUGUUUUAUUUUGAAUAUUUAUUAUGAAAUUAUGAUUAUCGUUAUAAUACAAAAAUUGAACUUGUGAGUUUAUGUGGCUAAAUUUUAGUGAUUAUUUGUUAAUUUUAUGAAUUUCAUGAUGUGUUACUUCAUAUGUAUUGAUGAUAAAAUCGUGAAUAAUGUAUGAGCAUGAAAAUUGAAUAAAUGGUCAAAUUGAGCAUUUCAGUUCAGUGACAAGAUGAAUUGAAGGAAAAGACCAUGGUUGGACCAUGGCAACAAGUGAUAAGUGAUAGCUUCGACUUAUCUGAUCAAGGACAAAUGAAAGUGAUAAGUGAUAGCUUCGGUUACACUUAUCUGAUCAAGGACAAAUGAAAGUGAUAAGUGAUAGCUUCGGCUACACUUAUCUGAUCAACGACAAAUGACAAGUGAAAAGUGGUAGCUUCUGCUACCUGAUCAGUGAAAAGUGAUAGCUUCUGCUACCUGAUCAGUGAAAAGUGGUAGCUUUUGCUACCUAAUCAGUGAAAAGUGGUAGCUCCGGCUACCUAAUCAGUGAAAAGUGGUAGCGCGAAGCUACCUGAUCAGUGAAAAGUGGUAGCUCCGGCUACCUAAUCAGUGAAAAAUGGUAGCUUCGGCUACCUGAUCAGUGAAUUGUGGUAGCUUCGGCUACAAGUGACAAGUGAUUUCCGUAUAAGAUCAUAUUUGGGCUGUGGCAUCGAUAUAUGAAUAUGUGUAAGACCAUAGCUGGGCUAUGGCAUCAUUAUGUGAAGAUGUGUAAGACCAUAAUUGAACUAUGACAUCGAGAAAACGAAGUACUCAAUUCCGUAAGACGUUCACUAAUUUGACAAAGUUUGGUAAGUGUUACAUGGAAUUAUGUGAUACAAGGAAGUACGAGUUGAUAAGAUAUGAGUAUAGAACUUGGUUAAUAAAUGAAUUCAUUUGUGAUUAUAUAAUUAUUCAUCUUGAACGUACUAUCCAUAUGUAUUGAUAAUUCAAAUGUUUUAAUGAAUAAAGUUCCGACAUGAAAUAAAUUGAACACGAGACAAAUAAUUAUGAAAUUGAACUCGAAAUUCAUGAAAAUGACAGUUAUUGAUAUAUGGAGACAUGAGAGAUUGAUAUAUGAAUAUGGAAAAUGUUUGAUAAAUGUGUUUAUUCAUAAUUAUGGAAUUAUAUACCUCAUGUGUACUAUUUGCAUCAAGAUGAUAUUUCAAAUACUUUGGUUAUUUAAGCUUAAAUAUGGAAUAGUAUGAAAUCAAGAUAAGUUGUUAUGAAAACAUAUUUAGAUUAUAGAGAUAUGGCUGAUAUAUGUUGUAUGAUUACAUAACGUGAAAUUGUAUAUAUAUAUGAGAAAUUUAUUGAGAAUUGAGCCCAUACACAUUUCUUGUUAUUUAUAUUAAGUGUACGACUGUCAAGGGUGAUGAAGUUAUAAAUAGAGAGUUACACGGGUUGAAAACACGGGUGUGUGACUCUCCAAAGUGUGAAAAUUUUCUAAGUGUUGCAAAAGUUUUAUAUGUUUACGGUUUGGUCCCAAACCACCCUGAAUGUAUGUUUUGGGCCCCGUAGGCCCAUAUAAGGGACGUUAAACAUAUGUAUGAAAGUUUUUAAUUUAGAAGAAAUUUUAUGGCUGAUUUUUACAUGAUUGAUCAUAUUAAGUUCGGUAAUGCCUCGUACCCUAUUCUAGGCUCGAAAUACGGGUAGGGGGUGUUACAGUUGGCAUGAAAGAUAAAUGUUUCUCCUUAAACUUUGAUUAAUCUAGUUCAUCAACUUAUACCGAUUCAAUUAAUGAAUUUGAAUUGUGGCAUAAAAGGAUGGGUUACUUAUAUAACAUCUCCAAAUUUUUUAUGUCAAAAUUUGUGUCAUCUCGGUGGUAGAGCUAAUUAAAAAUUUGUAAUUAUAUUAGACUUCAAGAAAGGCUCUAAAGACUAACUUGUAAUUAUUUUAAUGUGACACUAAAGAGUGGUAGCAAUGUAAUUAUGUUAGACUUAAUAAAGGCUCUAAGGACUAACUUGUACGAGAAAGUAAAGUAAUAUGCCAAAUCUAGAAUGAAUAAGUGGAGAGCUUGGAGAUUUCUUGGACUUAAGUGGCUAGUUGGCAUAGCCUUAAUAAGGAAUUAAACCAAGAUUUGAGUGUAAUUAUACAACUUUGUUAAGUAAGUGAAGAGCUUUAAUACUUUCCGUGAAUUUCCACUAGCUAUUUUAAGGUGUAACUUUGUUCACAAUUUGGCUCUCUCUCUAGCAAAAACUACAUUUUUGAUGCGGUCGUUGAGAGCACCAAAAAUAUCCUAUUCUCUGUAAAAUAACGAAAAAGAAUACUAAAGGUGGAAGUAGGGUCGAAUCCUCAGGGACCGGAUUAUACGGAUACUUAUUUCUCGAAAUCCUGGGCAGAAUCGUGCCCAAGAAAGCCUGCGUUCCUGAAAAAAAUAAAAACAGAAUUAAAAGUUUUGAUUUGGAAACGAAAAUAAAUAAAAACAGAAUUUAAAGUUGACUGAAGUUGUGAUUGCGAAAAUAAUAAAAAUAAUGAAGAGAGUUAAAGGAAAAGAAAUUCUUAUUGGAAGAUUUCUGCCUCCAGUUGUCUCAUUCCGCCUUGGGUUCAAUCCUCGGCUUUUGGAUGACCCUUCUCGAAUCAAGUAAGCCAGUUAUAGUGGAAGAGGACGCCUACGACCACCAGUUUCAAAUAUUAGACUUAUGAUUUUUAGAGAACCUGACUCUAGCCAUAAAUCUAUGCUAGAUCAACGCUUCUCAAUGGCGAAUCCCAUGCCAUUUUGUCUCUUUGGCUCGCCAACCUCUGACGCAGUAAGUUAACGAACCGACUAUGUAACCCUUCCAAAACACACAAUGCGGCUGCCUUUGCAUAUGCUGAAAAGCUUACUUCUUAAGGGCCUUGGACGGAAGCGUCAGCCCGCAGUGCAGAGAAACGAUAAUACUUGGCGAGAAGGCUAAGUACAGAUUCUAAGCCUCAAGAACCCUUUUUAGGGAAUGUCGACAACUUUCGGCUAGAUGGGUUUUAGUGGCUCACGAUAGUGGUGGAAAAGAAAAUAAAUAUAAAGAUGGAAAAGGAAUUUUUAUUAAAGGAAAAUAUGGAAAGAAACAAAAGCCUAGAGGAGGAGAGUGUUUACAUAAAAAGAUGAACAACCAAAUAGAGUCACUUCACCCCCUAUUUAUAGUACUAGGAAGAUAGUCUAAUUUGACUUAAAUUCUAAAAAGAUAAAUAUAUUUAAUUAAAGAUAAUUAAAGAUAAUUAAAAUAAAAUCCUAAAAUUAAAUAAUCCUAAUAAUUAUCUUAAUAUUAAUUAUCCUAAUAUAAAAAUAGAGUCUUAUAAAAUAAAAUCUCUUCUUUUUGCAUUUUCAGUCCUUGUGUCUUCUAUGCUCGCACUUUUGGCACAAUCUUUUUCCUGUGUCGCAUAUUAGCCCAUUUUGUCUCCAAAUUCGUAUUUUUGCCCCUUAAUUUUGCUUUUGACUCCAAAUCAGUCCCUAAAAGAUAAAAUAUUAUAUAUAGCAUAAAUUAGCAGGAUCAUACUCAGAAUAAUCACAUAAUUAAUAAAAUAAAAUACGUUAUUCUAGAGUAUUAUCAAAUUACCCCUACUUAGCCCAUGCUUGCCCUCAAGCAUGGUUCCUAUCCACUAUGAAAGUUAGAUUCUACUAUAGAAGAAAUACCACUCCAAAGUUUCAUAAGAAUUAGUUAGAAAUGCAUAUGAAAAAUAAAGAGAACCCUAAGCUUGCUUUAAGUAAAACAGAAAAAGUUUUCCAAUUAAUACACACAAAAAUUAAAAUCGAUUUGAAUUAUUUCAUGGAAAUUAGGUAAAUUACUAAACUUACCAAGACACCCUCUUUGUUUCUUCCUUUAACCCUAAAUUUUAUUUAUUUACAUAUUUUUUUUGCUUUUUCAUUUUCUUUCUUUUUUCUAUUUACUUAUUUAUUUAUGUAUGUAUGUUUGUAUGUUGAACUUUUGACGCAAAGAGUGAUAACAGCCAAGCACCAAACCCCCGUUACUCAGCCCAACAUACUUUUUAUUUUUUAUUUUUCCUAAAAACAUGUGGAACCUUUUGACGCGAGGAGUGAUGACAGCCAAGCACCCCACCCCGAUUACUCAGCCUAACACAUUCUUAAGAAUUAAUUCCGGUUAGCAGAGUUUUAACUAUCACGUCACACAACCUUUUGACGAGAAGUAGAAUGACAACCCCAGCACCCUACCCCGGUUACUCAGUUAGUCACGUUCUAAGCUGUACUCAUAACCACGGAAAAAUUAUUAACAAUUAAAAGAAAUUUAAAUUUUGAGGACUCAGGAAAAACAAUUUAAGUGUCAAGAGCAAGUUUCAAUAAUCACCUAAUAGCCAUGAACAUAAAUUAAGCAUGCAAUCAUUUUAAGUGUUCACUUUAUAUUAAACUUGAUCAAUUUUACGAAAAGCAAAACAGAGUUAACUCUAUUAAUCACAAUUAUUUCUAGCCUAAUAAAAAUGAAACUGUGGAGAUGGCGUCAAUUAUGAAAAAAAUCAUAACUUCCUCAGAAGGCAAGAAUCAUGCUUGUGGGGCAAACAGUAGGCAAUUCCUGGUCAAAAUCUUGCGCUUGAAAAGAGAUAGCAUCUUCUUAAAAAAAUAUGGACAAAAUGGGGUCUCAUCAAACAGUAACAAAAACACAGCAGCAACAUCGACCAAAAUCACAGUAGAAAAUGACAGUAAUAACGAAGAGUUCCUUCCCCCUACUUAAAAUACAUUGUCCUCAAUGUUGACAAAAAGAAAUAAAUAGGUAGAUAGGUUUAGUAAUACUCCCCAUGUAGUUUACCGUCGAUCACCCUUGAUGGCAAGGAGUUCGGUGAGUUGCUGGCCAAAUGUAUCAAGUCGAGCCUCAAUGCGCUCCAAGCGUUGCUCAACGGUCAAUGUUGGUUGAGCUUGGGCGGGUGCUUCAUUGUGAGUUUGUUGGCGAAAGACUCGCUCGGAUUGUAAAGAACGAAUACGGGGAGGUACAAAACUGAAUAUGAUGGAGUGCCACGAAGUAACCCCAUUGAGUCGAGGCAUCGAGCAUCCAAAGGA
Molecule: long non-coding RNA, 43493 nt
Filed under: Gossypium barbadense (sea-island cotton)
Lineage: Eukaryota; Viridiplantae; Streptophyta; Magnoliopsida; Malvales; Malvaceae
Description: long non-coding RNA (GBAR_LNC002792)
Source: RNAcentral